This 765-nucleotide long non-coding RNA is filed under the name Carica papaya (papaya). Its description in RNAcentral is "long non-coding RNA (CPAP_LNC012975)". Lineage: Eukaryota; Viridiplantae; Streptophyta; Magnoliopsida; Brassicales; Caricaceae. The record is from RNAcentral.
CGUAAUUCACCACUGUAGCUCCUACAAUCAAUUGCGAAUCCACUCUUAUCAGAAAAAAAAAUUAAUAAUCACGGUCAUACUUCGUGACUAUGACCUCUACAAUACUAGUGAAGACUGAUGAACACAGCCAUACUUCACCACUGUGGCUCCUACAAUCAAUUACAAAUCCAUUCUUAUAAGAGAAAAUACUAGUACCAUUGAUAGGGAGUGUUUCAUCAACAGUCAUUUUUAGUCAAUACAACUUUCCCCCAGUGAAAACAGUCAAACAAAUUUUCAAUUCUUUCCUCUUUCCUUUAACAUUUUAGAGUCAUAGAUAAUCUUACAAUUAGAACACGGUAAAAAUCCAAUAGCAUAUUCUGGCCAACAGAAACCUUCACACUCUUAUUUCACCAUCGGAUCACCUUUUUGAGAUGAGGCCCAAUUAUGAUAAUUGAUAGAGGGCCAAGCCGUAGAUACACAUCAAUCAUUUUCACUUGAAUGAAGAUCAAAGACAUGUAUCCCAACUCAUCAAACAUUUAAUAAUUUACUCGCAAACAAUAUUCAUUUGCAUGCAUUAAAAAUAAAUUAAUAUUCAUUAAUUUAAUUUUUCUAUAAAUUUCACUUAGGAGAGUAAGAAAAAUACUGAGAAAUCUCUUAUUUCAAGGAGGCUGUUGGUGAUUUUGAAAAGAUGGAAAAGUUGCUCCAUGAUCCGUAAAUCGUAUGAAGAAAAUUAAACUUCCUAUCUCUUCUCACAAAUUUUCCUCUAAUUUUCACUUUAAGAACUGU